Molecule: long non-coding RNA, 4575 nt
Organism: Orcinus orca (killer whale)
Lineage: Eukaryota; Metazoa; Chordata; Mammalia; Artiodactyla; Delphinidae
Exons: 2
Source: RefSeq, a predicted model, not a curated record
CGCAGGGGACACAGGUUUGAUCCCUGGUCCGGGAAGAUCCCACAUGCCGCGGAGCAACUAAGCCCGUGCGCCACAACUACUGAGGCUGCGCUCUAGAGCCUGGGAGCCACAACUGAGCCUGCAUGCCGCAACUACUGAAGCCCACGCCCCUAGAGCCUGUGUUAUGCAACAAGAGAAGCCACUGCAAUGAGAAGCCCGCACACUGCAAGGAAGAGUAGCCCCUUCUCACUGCAACUAGAGAAAGCCUGAACGCAGUAAUGAAGACCCAACGCAGCCAAAAAAGAUAAAUAAAAUAAUAAUAAUAAUAUAAGCCAGGAAAAUCACUAGAAAAGUAAACUUUUUACCUUUUUUUUUUUUUUUUUUUCUUUUUUAGCUGCACUGUGUGGCAUGCAAGAUCUUAGUUCCCUGAGCAGGGAUCAAACCUGUGCCCCCUGCAGUGGAAGCAUGGAGUCUUAACCACUGGACCACCAGAGAAGUCCCAGGAAAACAUUCACUUUUGAUAGGAAUAUAUUAGGACAUCUCAUAUCCUCAGGUGUACAGAUUAAGCUUCGAGUGCAGCCUCAAGACUCAAGGGAAACAGAAUGAUUAUGAGCCCUCCCACAGAACCCUGGUGCUCAAUGGAUUUCCUCUAAUCAGACAACAAUGCACAUCACUGCUCCAGAUGAACUACCAUGAAAAAAGGGUCAAUGUAUUCUGUGAAACUCUGUGCAUGGGGAAGCUAAGAAUGUCUGGUGUCCUUGGGAUAGUGAUGAUAUUGAGGCGAGGCUAGGAAAAGAGCUGCAAUACGUACAAAAAUAUCCCUUUGACUUUAGUCCCUUGUGGGCUACACACAUUUCUACGUGGACCUACUUAUUUCCUUCUUACCAGAAGCACCUGCUAUUCCUGUCUCCCUGGGAACUUGUGGCCCCCCUCUCGCUAUUUGAACAGCCUUGGUCCUGACCUGUGGGCAUGUAUGUGUGAGGUAUGUGGCCAGGGGGUAUGAAAGUGAGGGGAGAGAGGACCUCUUUGUGAGUCAGAAAAUAAAAUGUUAAAAGGUACUGAAUCUGUGAUCCUGCCUUACUUACCCUCCUGCUCUUAUGAGACCGGUUUCUGCUUUUCUGUCUUCCUGGCUGGGUUGAGAAAAGGUGGUUCUGAGAGAGCUCAAACCUUCUUUCCAACCUUGCACAAGCAGGGUAGACAGAGAGAGAUUCUUGCAGAAUGUAAGUGACUGUGACAGUACAGGGGCAGCACACAGAGGCACGUGUUCAUUAUGUAUGGCUGGAGAAAUUAUCUGUCUCCAGGGGGACAUGUUUCACUGUGCAUUAGCUUCUCGCUGUUUCCUUCUUCCCUAUUUCUCUGCCCACUCUAUCACUUGUCCUUCUGAGUCUCCCUUCCCACUCCCUGACCCACACCCCCAUUCACAGUCCAGCUCUGCCUAUCAAUGUCUCCAUCCAUCUUCUCUGCCACGACCCGUCUCCCUCUCCUCUUUGCUCAAUCUCGCUCUUGCUGUCCAGGAGUCACUUUUCUUUCUCAUUUUGUCUCUUGUUUUCUCUAGCUCACUUUCUCGCAUUCCAUCUGUCUUUCCCUCUGUAAUACCAGCUUUUUGGGUACCCUGAAGCUAGCAAUAACCUUUUCUUGUUACAUUAACGUCCAUAAGCAGCACUUGGUUUAUUGAUUGAUUAGUUUUUAUUUAAAUUCUGUGGAGGAAAGAGAAGGGAAUUUUUAUAAAGUGAGAGCAGAGAGAAAACAUGAUAUCAAGCAGAGAGACAACAGAAAGAAGGGGCAUCCUGAGAAGAUGGGGGUGGGGCUGAUAUAGGGGGAGGCAUCAGAAGGGGUUGAACCCACGGUGUCUAAUUUCCUUUCACAUAAACUGGUUCAGAUCUUCACGGCUGAUGACAGCUAAGUCUGGAUUAUAAAGUGUGAAGUGCCAAGUUAGGCUUGGCACCUGACUCAGAGGCAGAGCUUCAGGGAGAAAUGAGUUGGGUUAAAUAAACCCAAGAAGCUGACGUGGGUAGAAUUUCUGCCUGACCCAUUAACAACGGCGAAUGGGACAUUUUAGAAAUGGUUUUUAUUGAAAUGCUUCAGUGGGGCAUAGCCCCGAGAAGCAAGAACUUGGCUGUGAGGCCAGCCCUGGGGUGCACUGUGGGGAUGUGGAGAGUCGGCUGAUGCAGGGGUGGGGGGUGGCCCGGGUCAGGCAGGAGGUGGCAACAGCUGCUCAUCAGAGCAGUUGUGACUGCUGUGUUUGCUCUCUCAUCUUGCCCGCUAUAAUUAAAGCUUUCCCAAUACGAUUCUGGCUUCCUAAAGGGAAACUAGAAUUUAAAAAACAAACAAGAAAAAAUACCCCAAAAUAGCAGAGAUGCUUAGUUGCAAUAUACAUGUUUUAUUUUUAAAAUAAAUUUAUUAUUAUUUAAAAAUUUUUUUUUGGCUGCGUUGGGUCUUUGUUGCUGCACGCGGGCUUUCUCUAGUUGCAGCGAGCGGAAGCUAUUCUUCGUUGCGGUGCGCGGGCUUCUCAUUGAGGUGGCUUCUCUUGUUGUGGAGCACGGGCUCUAGGCACGCGGGCUUCAGUAGUUGUGGCACACAGGCUCAGUAGUUGUGGCGCACGGGUUUAGUUGCUCCGCGGCAUGUGGGAUCUUCCCGGACCAGGGCUCUAACCCGUGUUUCCUGCAUUGGCAGGCGGAUUCUUAACCGCCUCGAGGGAAGUCCCUAUACAUAUAUUUUAAAUCAUAAAGCUGUUAAUCCUGUCUUGAGGUCACUGCUGCUGGUCAGUUUCAAAGCAUCUAAUCUACUGCUAGAGCCCUGGCAGGAGGGGGUCUUAAAAAAACAACCAAAACUAACAGAAAAUGAAAUAUCUAAUUGUAUUCACCAAAUUAGAUACGCUCAUGUGAAUUCAUCACUGACCCAACCAUCCUCCUUCUUCUGAGACUAGGGAAAUGCUCCCCCAGUUUCCCUCCAACCUUUUUUCACCUUACUCCCUUUCCAUCCCCCCCCUUGCCUCCCUCCCCUGAGAGUCCACAUAGAACCUGUGGACCAUAACAAAUCAGUUGUUUUAUUUCCCCUCAAAGGAUGUAACUUUCCAUUCCCCAAAUGGCUUUGACAGUUUUCUCAUUUGCUAGCUGAGGAGGAUAUCAAGAGACACUGACCUUCUGGUUUUGCCUAAAGAGGGAACACUCAGUAACUAUUAUGCUUCAGUCCCUGAUUUAACUGUGACCUUCCUCCCUCCUCCUCAUGUCCUCGCCUACCUUUUCACCUUCCCUCAUGAACAUUCUACUCACCCCACAGGGCACCGCUGCUCCCUGUAGCCCUCCCUUGCCUGGUUUGGAGAUGCUGUAAGGCACAUCUGUCUUCAACCCCACAGCAUUCCCUGCCAGCAAGAGGAAGCAUGGGGCCUCUAGGAGUGUUUUGCUCCCUGUUUAAUCAGAUUAGUCCCAUCACCUACCCUGAGGAGUCACAUUUUGGUGUUACUGAGCUAUCUGUGGAAGGAGAAAUUGUCAGACAUCACUGAAAAAGCCCUGGCCCUUGGAUGCCUGGGAAUUGCAGAGAGAAAUUAAUCUUCUGGCUAUUUAAGGCAAUUUCUUUUCCAUAAUCCUUUGUCAAGAGGACUGCACUGGGAAAUUAAUCUGAUGGGAGUCCCUGAACUGGUACACUCCACUCAACAGCAUCUCUCCAGUGCUAUGCAGCAUCCAUCAUCCCUGCACAAGCAGAGACACACAUCACUGCAAAGCUAACUCCCCACCAGUCCCAGCAGCAAGAGACUGCAAUUGCAGAGUGAGCAUCACUGGGCCUGGAGACUUGCAGUUUUCCUCUAUCUCUGCUCUAAUUUCUUUCCAGAAAACCUACCACAGAUUGAUCUCUUCCAUUAAGCCAGUCUUUCUUUUUUUUUUGGUACUUGGGCCUCUCACUGUUGUGGCCUCUCCCAUUGCGGAGCACAGGGCUUUCCGGACGCGCAGGCUCAGCGGCCAUGGCUCAUGGGCCCAGCCGCUCUGCGGCAUGUGGGAUCUUCCCGGAUCGGGGCACGAACCCGUGUCUCCUGCAUGGGGAGGCGGACUCUCAACCACUGCGCCACCAGGGAAGCCCAAGCCAGUCUUUCUUUUAUCCAAAAUGCAGGAAGGCAGAGAAGCAGGGAUAUGCCAGAACACAGGACUCUAGGAUAUGCGGUUUUUGCCUGAACAUAAGGACUCAGCCAGUGCAGAACAGGUGUUUACACUGAACAGCUAGACCACUGCAAAGUCAGGUGUGAGAUAGCAACAAGGCAAGGGCAGCAUUGCUUCAUGACUAUCUCUCCUCUCCAGACUGAAUUUUCUUUCAUGGGAAAAGAGCCCAGGGAGUCUCAUGCUCUCUGGGGGUCAGUGUAAAAGAAUUUCAAUCUUCAACUCUCUUUUCUUCCUGAAGGUUAUUUCCCAGGGCAGUUAUUUUCAAAUUGUGUUCCUUGGGGUUCCAAGAAGUUCCAGGGAGUAUGCAUGGUGGUGGGAGGUGAUGUGGGAAGUGGCCGGAGGGGGAAGCUUAAUGGUUGAGGCUCUGGACCCUUCAUCUCUACUUCAAUCUGAUUUGAUUUCUUUCAGGGGCUUGGAUUUCUCCUAAGAGUUCUUUUUUUUCUUU